CAAGCGGCGGAGCAUGUGGAUUAAUUCGAUGCAACGCGAAGAACCUUACCUGGGCUUGACAUACACCAGAUCGGCGCAGAGAUGCGUUUUCCCUUGUGGUUGGUGUACAGGUGGUGCAUGGUUGUCGUCAGCUCGUGUCGUGAGAUGUUGGGUUAAGUCCCGCAACGAGCGCAACCCUUGUCUUAUGUUGCCAGCACGUGAUGGUGGGGACUCAUGAGAGACUGCCGGGGUUAACUCGGAGGAAGGUGGGGAUGACGUCAAAUCAUCAUGCCCCUUAUGUCCAGGGCUUCACACAUGCUACAAUGGUCGGUACAACGCGUGUGCGACACUGUGAGGUGAAGCUAAUCGCUCUAAAGCCGGUCGUAGUUCGGAUUGGGGUCUGCAACUCGACCCCAUGAAGUCGGAGUCGCUAGUAAUCGCAGAUCAGCAACGCUGCGGUGAAUACGUUCCCGGGCCUU
Molecule: ribosomal RNA, 458 nt
Filed under: uncultured Corynebacterium sp.
Lineage: Bacteria; Bacillati; Actinomycetota; Actinomycetes; Mycobacteriales; Corynebacteriaceae
Description: bacterial SSU rRNA
Rfam family: Bacterial small subunit ribosomal RNA
Source: RNAcentral